RNAcentral lists this ribosomal RNA (497 nucleotides) under uncultured bacterium. RNAcentral's name for it is "partial 16S ribosomal RNA". It matches the Rfam family "Bacterial small subunit ribosomal RNA", at positions 28 to 507 of the family's 1533-position model. The record is from RNAcentral.
GAUGAACGCUGGCGGCGUGCCUAAUACAUGCAAGUCGAGCGAACGGACGAGACGCUUGCUUCUCUGAUGUUAGCGGCGGACGGGUGAGUAACACGUGGAUAACCUACCUAUAAGACUGGGAUAACUUCGGGAAACCGGCGCUAAUACCGGAUAAUAUUUUGAACCGCAUGGUUCAAAAGUGAAAGACGGUCUUGCUGUCACUUAUAGAUGGAUCCGCGCUGCAUUAGCUAGUUGGUAAGGUAACGGCUUACCAAGGCAACGAUGCAUAGCCGACCUGAGAGAGUGAUCGGCCACACUGGAACUGAGACACGGUCCAGACUCCUACGGGAGGCAGCAGUAGGGAACCUGCCGCAAUGGGCGAAAGCAUGACGGAGCAACGCCGCGUGAGUGAUGAAGGUCUUCGGAUCGUAAAACUCUGUUAUGAGGGAAGAACAGAUGUGUAAGUAACUGUGCACAGCUUGACGGUACCGAAUCAGAAAGCCACGGCUAACUACGUG